UCCCUGCGUUGGGGGGGGGGGGGGCUGCUGGCGACGGGGGAGAAAGGCAAUCUCGCAGCCAAUGAGCCCUGCUAGACUGGGGUGAAGAGGAGAGCAGAGGGAUUUGGGGAAGGAAAGAAUAAAAAAAAGAGACGAAAGGAGGGGGACCAUCCUCCCCACCACCUCCGCCAGCAUCGCCACCGCCGUUGACACCGCUCCGAGUCUCCAGUUGCGCCCAUGCCUGUGCCGCCAGUUUCGGUUUAGGGGCUGAACCGCAGGGGCUGAAGAAAAUGGGGCAGAGCGCGCCCCGGACCCUCCUGCUGCUGCUGGCGGGGCUGCUGGGGGAGGCUCUGGCGGGGUUCCCCAACACCAUCAGUAUAGGUGGACUUUUUAUGAGGAACACUGUUCAGGAGCACAGUGCAUUUCGAUUUGCUGUGCAGCUAUACAACACAAACCAAAAUACCACAGAAAAGCCCUUCCAUUUGAACUAUCACGUAGAUCACUUGGACUCUUCCAACAGUUUUUCAGUGACAAAUGCUUUCUGUUCACAGUUUUCCAGAGGAGUUUAUGCCAUCUUUGGAUUCUAUGACCAGAUGUCCAUGAACACCCUGACGUCGUUCUGCGGCGCCCUCCACACGUCCUUCAUCACCCCGAGCUUCCCGACAGAUGCAGAUGUGCAGUUCGUCAUCCAGAUGCGGCCAGCCUUGAAAGGAGCCAUCCUGAGUCUCUUGACUUACUAUAAGUGGGAAAAGUUUGUGUACCUCUAUGACACAGAACGGGGAUUUUCCAUUCUUCAGGCAAUUAUGGAAGCAGCAGUACAGAACAACUGGCAAGUGACAGCCAGAUCUGUAGGAAGCAUAAAAGAUGUUCAAGAGUUCAGAAGAAUUAUAGAGGAGAUGGACAGACGGCAAGAAAAAAGAUACUUAAUUGACUGUGAAGUAGACAGAAUCAACACCAUUUUGGAACAGGUUGUAAUCCUCGGCAAACAUUCUAGAGGCUAUCACUACAUGUUAGCUAACCUGGGUUUCACAGACAUUGUUCUGGAGAGAGUAAUGCAUGGAGGUGCCAACAUUACUGGAUUCCAGAUUGUUAAUAAUGAAAAUCCAAUGGUUCAACAGUUUCUGCAGCGCUGGAUGAGGCUUGAUGAAAGGGAAUUCCCUGAAGCCAAAAACUCACCAUUAAAGUACACAUCUGCACUGACCCACGACGCCGUCCUGGUGAUAGCAGAGGCUUUCCGGUACCUCCGCAGGCAGCGUGUGGAUGUCUCCAGGAGAGGCAGUGCUGGAGACUGCCUGGCCAACCCUGCAGUGCCAUGGAGCCAAGGAAUUGAUAUAGAAAGAGCACUGAAAAUGGUGCAAGUUCAAGGAAUGACAGGGAACAUCCAGUUUGACACCUAUGGGAGGAGAACAAAUUACACAAUUGAUGUGUAUGAAAUGAAAGCUUCUGGGUCACGGAAGGCUGGUUAUUGGAAUGAAUAUGAAAGAUAUGUGCCAGCAUUAGAUCAGCUGCCCUCUAAUGACACUUCAUCUGUGGAGAACAGAACUAUAGUAGUCACUACCAUCUUGGAAUCACCAUAUGUAAUGUAUAAGAAAAACCAUGAACAACUAGAAGGGAAUGAGAGAUAUGAAGGAUAUUGUGUAGACUUAGCUUCUGAAAUAGCAAAACAUGUUGGAAUAAAAUACAAACUGUCAAUUGUUGGAGAUGGGAAAUAUGGAGCUAGGGACCCUGAGACUAAGAUAUGGAAUGGCAUGGUGGGUGAACUGGUCUAUGGGAGAGCAGAUAUAGCUGUUGCCCCCCUCACCAUAACAUUGGUGCGAGAAGAAGUCAUAGACUUUUCCAAACCCUUUAUGAGCCUGGGCAUCUCCAUCAUGAUCAAGAAGCCUCAGAAAUCUAAACCGGGCGUGUUCUCUUUCCUGGAUCCUUUGGCUUAUGAAAUUUGGAUGUGUAUAGUCUUUGCUUACAUUGGCGUCAGCGUAGUUCUUUUCCUAGUCAGCAGAUUCAGCCCCUAUGAGUGGCACUUGGAAGACAACACUGAAGAACCACGUGACCCUCAGAAUCCUCCUGACCCUCCAAAUGAGUUUGGAAUAUUUAACAGCCUUUGGUUUUCCCUGGGUGCCUUUAUGCAGCAAGGAUGCGAUAUUUCUCCAAGAUCUCUCUCAGGGCGAAUUGUUGGAGGAGUCUGGUGGUUCUUCACUCUCAUCAUUAUCUCUUCCUACACUGCUAAUCUCGCUGCCUUCCUUACGGUGGAAAGGAUGGUUUCACCCAUAGAGAGUGCAGAGGACCUGGCUAAACAAACUGAAAUAGCCUAUGGCACUUUGGAUUCAGGCUCAACCAAAGAAUUCUUUAGAAGGUCAAAAAUAGCUGUCUAUGAGAAAAUGUGGUCAUACAUGAAGUCGGCCGAGCCCUCGGUGUUCACCAAGACGACGGCGGACGGGGUGGCCAGGGUGAGGAAGUCCAAGGGCAAGUUUGCCUUCCUGCUGGAGUCCACGAUGAACGAGUACAUCGAGCAGCGCAAGCCCUGCGACACCAUGAAAGUUGGAGGCAACCUGGAUUCCAAGGGCUAUGGUGUAGCAACCCCCAAAGGCUCAGCAUUAAGAAAUGCUGUUAACCUGGCAGUAUUAAAACUGAAUGAGCAAGGCCUCUUGGACAAAUUGAAAAACAAAUGGUGGUACGACAAAGGAGAGUGCGGCAGCGGGGGAGGUGACUCCAAGGUCAGCCUCAAUGUCACCACAAUCGGGUACCUUAGCAAAGAGUAAUCGGCAAGGCUGUUAUUUUGCUUCUCGAGAAAAAAAACUCAAAAAGAAAGCAGAUGAAAAUUAUUUCACUAAUUGUGGUGGGGAAAAAACCUCUGUUUUCUUGUUCAGUAGCUCUUUCAAAGAAACAGUCUUAUUUAAUAUCAGCGGGUUUGUUUGAGCUUGGAAACCUUAUUUAACUAACAGAUAGAAAGUCUAGUGUUGGUGGGACCUACACAGAGUAAAUCAGUGAGGUAACUGUACAAGAAGCCAAUUAUCACCUCUGGUCACUGUCCCAACCUGUGAGAGCAACGCUUUAUGAGACUUUUUUUGCCAGGACCAGCUGUGCCAGAAGAGACCUGGGGGUGAAAGAGCACCUAUUUCCUUUGGCCUUUUGGGAAGGUUUUGGAAAUGUUGCCUGGAGUAUUCAAAUGCCACCUUUUGUACACCACUGAUCAGUCUUCUGCACGCUCCUGUGCAGGAGCCCUGUGUCUAUGUUUGGCAUGCCUUUGAUACAGAUGUGGACUCAAAUCUGGCUCCAGUGGCAGCCAUGGCAGCCUUCUGGUGAGCUGAGGCUUCCCCCAACCUUCCAGGCAGCCUGUACUGCACCCUCACAAAGUUGCUUCAGUGAGCUCAUGUAUUGCAAAUGUUAAGUAGUGUGCUUUCCUCUUGCCAACUUUGCCCGUAGGACUGGCAGUCCUUUCCUGCAGUCUUCAACCCAGCAAGGAUAAGCUUUAUCUGGUGUUGGCUGGGUGUUGUUGGUCACUGUGGUGUAGAAAUUACCACGAAAAUUAAUUUAAAUUACAUUGUUAUACUGAAAAGUACUGAAAUUCAUUUUUACAGUGACACUCUCCUACAUCUAGUAAAACCAGAUCUUUAGGGAGCAGUAACUCUUAAUCUCUCUAAUAAAAAUGCUUCAGAUUUGGUCCAAAAUCAAUAAUAACAGUAAACUGCAGUUUUGGACAAUUACUGCAAAUUACUGCUACAAUCUAUUCAUAAGAGUUGCAUACAGUUGGCUAUAUAGGAAAUUGCUCAGCUCGUCAUGUCUACUGCUAGCAAAAGCCACUGUGUAAUAUUAGAGGAAGGAAAAGCUCUUGAAUUUGGAUUGAUUCAGUAGCUGGAGGUCUGCAGUGCUCAGCAGCAGCCUGGAGAUGAGCAGAAGCUUUUUUAUGCUUUUUAGCUCUGCUGCUCAUCCUUCACAGAACAUUUUAUAUGUUGCAUUUGCCAGUAUAUUAAAUGUUUAAUAUCCUCCUGGGAUCCAGCACCUCAUUGUCUAAUGCUGACUCCCUGAAAAAAAAAAACCUCAUACAAACCAGCUUCAAUGAACUUCAUAGCUUCAAGUUCAUUUAAUUAAACCCAGCCAAUAACACUUACAGCCCUAAGGAAACUAAAGAGGGCUUUUUAAAUGGUCACAGUUAGGGCAGGGCCAUCCUUCUAUUUUUGCUUGUGCUGGAUGAUGUUUUACAAAGAACAGUGCUGUCUGUUUUUCAGGCCCUUGGCCUGGUCAGACAGCAUGGUCACCCAGUGGAUGCUGGGGUGCUGUGCUAACAUGAGUUAGUACCCAGAGAAGAGGGAAGGGGAGCAAACACAAUAAUGUGUGUUUUGCUGGUGUAGUCCCAAGUGAUGUCUGUGUGCAGUUUGUUGUAACACGCUUGUGAAGGACUUGUUUGAGCUAUAGUCAUCAGCUCUUGGGGCACAGCUCAGCUGGAAAAAUCCCCAGAGAGGAGAUCAUGGGAUGUAGAAGACCUCCCACAGAAGACUAAGCUAAGGGAGAUGGGGAAGGGGUUAGUGACUGUUUCUAGAGGCGUGGUAAAUCAAAGGGCUUUUUUUGUUACCUUUUCCUUUGAGGUAGUUCUGUAGGCCCUGAGCCCUGCAGACUGCAGUGUGGCUCUGUUGCAGCAGACAGGCAGAGCCUUCCCAGCACACCCCCAUCACUGGCCAGGCCCUGCCCCAGCCCAGCAGGAGCCCCACUGCCCUCUCAGGAAAGAUGUGUUCUGGUGCUGCCCCUUGUGCAUGGCAGCUCCAAGAGUCUUGCUGGCCUCUCUCUCCUCACUGUCCUCCCACCAAAUGUUGCCCCCAUCAUCUCAUCCCAUCUCUCCAAUUGUUUAUAUGGCCACGGCUACAUUUGUAGGUCAUUCAGAGGAGUCGCUGCAAAACUGUUAUUUUUUUCCCUUUUACCUUAAAGGAGGUGGCAGCUGGGGGAAUCAGGAUGGGAUGGUGAAGGUGUCUGGGGUGGAGAUACAGACCUUGCCCUCUGAUCUCAGCCAUUGCUCACUCAGGGCAGCUCUCUCUACUGGCUGAGCUGACAGACUCCUCUCUCAGCUUCCCCAGUAGAGACCCGGGCUUGGGAAAUCGCUGCCCCGAGUUGGCAAUCAGCCACCUCCUGCCUCCUGGCAGUGGGUUGUGUAAUGGGUUGUAUGUGAGUCAUGGCAGACUGGUGGUGUCGGUUUCUUAAGCUGAGUUCCUCUGUGACUGAUACUUUAGCUCUUGCUGAAAGCCAGAGGUGAGUAUGAGCCUGUUUGCUUGUGCCAGUGCCCAUCGUUGUACUGCAAAGGACCCGGCCGCCCUCCCCUGCUCGUCCUCGCUGCGGUCUCGCAUGCGGUGUGCCUGUGCUCGGAGAGGAAUCGUUCUGAGCUGGGAGUUCUUCUCUGGUUACCGUAUCUCACCGCCUCUGGAAAAUUAAACAGUGACUUCUAUUUUCACAAGGAUUUUGAGUCUUGCAGCGGGAAAAAGAAAAGGUAUUCAAUUGGCUUUCUGCAGGCUUUGAAUCUUUUGGUUUAUACAGAGUGUAAGGUGAGGCCUGUGGGCAUUCCGUGCUCCUGGGGUUCACUCAUAAUUCAAGACUAAAGAGAUUGUGCCAUUUUAAUGAGUUUGUUUUAAAGGCCUCAGCUGACAUGUGUCUUGUUUUCAGUGCUACCAGUCUGUGCCAGUGCUGGUGUGGAGCAGAGGGUGCAAGUGUUGGUACUGCCCUGGCAAAGGGAAUGACCCAAUUUCGGUAGUGGUCUUUAUUUAACAAGUCUGAAGAGGAAUAUGCUCCAUCCAUACAUAAUUUCUCUGGGAUGCAUGUCAGUACAUGUGGGCUGACUUGGCUGAUGCAGACGUUCUGGUACGUGCAUCAAAACUCAUUCACUUAGCUCUCCUAAAUGAGCUUGAAUUUAGUUUCAUGGCAAAAUUGUCUUCUCUUCAAAUGCUCUUAUACAUGCAAGCUGAGUUCUCAAUCAUGAGAGAAUACAAAAUAGCAGUUGUAAAAAAAACAUAUUUCAGGAAAUAUAUUGCAAGUUUGGAAUCUAAUUAUUUUGUUUAUUAUACAGUCCUGUAAUCUCGGAGCUGAGUUAUGGCUGAAUAGGGAUUUAACAAGAAUUAGACAAAAGGGGAUGCAGAUGGCGGUCACAGCCUGAGUGACUUAAGUGAAACUAAUUAUUCAGUUGCAAAGGAACAAUUUCCUGCUAAGAUAAAUUUCCAUAGUUCUGCUGUUGAUAAAUUUCAUGUAUUCUUAUACCUUCAUGGUAACAUUUAAUGGCAACCAGCAUGGAAGGAGAAUGUUUGAAUGCAGCUUCUCAUCAACUUUACCUGCCAAGACUCCCUGCUAAUUAUUUGACUUAAUUUCUUUAAUAUAUUCUUUUUUAGGCUGAUACCUCUUUUGGACUACAUCAGAGAAAUGACAUGCAAUGUAAAUUAUUUCAUUUUCCAAUUGUUUCUUUUUAAUCAUAGAAUUACUUUUCCAGUGUGCUAGUUGAGUUCUGCCCUCAGAGCUGUGCUCCAUACAAUAUCCCAUUCCCAACACCUUCGGAGCUGUGAGUGUGGCCAUUAGCAGAUGGGAUCUGUUCCCCCGUGUCUGUGUGCUGUUUUGGUUUGAUACAUUUUCAGCACAGCCGUUAGCAUUUGCGGCAUAAUUUUUUUAAGUGGCAUAUUUUUAGAAGAAAUCUGUUAUGCUUUAUUUUAGAUGAUACCUAAAGAGCACCAUUGCCAAACACGUCGUGCAUAAAAAAGAACAUUUGGGCAAAUGGCUAUCUUCAAAAGAUGCAGCACGAUUUAUUUGAGCCAUUUGUUUGAAAUUAUGUUCAUCAGCAUGAAUUUUCUUGUCAUCCAUACCAUAGGCAUGUGUUAUGAGCUGGAAAAAGAUAAAAUGGCUGAUCAGAGCCAAUGACAGUAACACAGAGCUAAUUCAUGCUCAGAGCUGGGAAAGUAAUAUGAAAUUACUGUAUUGUGCAAAUUAGUGACAAAGCAAAAUAAUGCUUUGAAAGGAAGACACCAGAAUAUUGGUUUAAUUGACAGCUAUUACUUUAUAGCGUAUUAGGAAAUAAUACUGUGUAUGUUUUGUGGCAGUGAUGAAGUCUUAAUGCUCUAGGAGUUCAUUGGAGCAUCUCAGAGCACUGCCAAGAAGGGCAGAGUGCCUGCUCUGGUUUGCAGAAACAGCAGUGCUUUUGUGCUGAUUGUUGAGGGUAUUUUCCUGGAAAUGGAACUGGGAGAAGCGGCUCAAUAAUUUGGGAAGAGCAGAUUGCCUACGCUGGGAAGGAGUUGGUGGAGUCAGAACCAGUGGCGUCCAAGAAUUUGGAACUGUUUAGUUUUGCCAGUAAAACCUUCAUGGAGAUCUGGCUUUGCUACCUUGCCAAAGCCAUCUCAAGACCUGAGUGUGCAAGGAGACCUGUUUGUGCAGCAUUAAUUGUGGCAGACCUGGGGCUCCUGCCUGGACUGCAUGUCCUGCCUUUAUGGCCACAAGAAAUCUUAAAGACUUGUUAAUUGCGCACUCCUUUUGAUAAUAUCUGUGGUGCUUAACAGUUCAUUUCCAUAGAUUGCUUACAUGAGUCAUUUAUCCUGGACUGUAAGUAUCAAUAUGGGAAAAGUCAAGGUGGAAGGCUUUGUGGUACUGGAAAAGGAAAAAAGGAAAACCAGCAGCUGGAAGUGGAGCUCCCAGCAGCAGGAGCAGGGCCCUUCCUUUGUAUGUCUCCCUGGGGGUCUGGGCUUGGUUGUUUCUCUUUAAUAGUAGCUGCUGUCAUUUAACAUACAAAGGGAAAAGUAAAUGCCUUUCUUCUUCUUCAAAGUGACUCUAGCGUUUCAGCAUUCUGCUCACGUGGACACAGGCACUGGUGCUGCUCUGUGGAUUUCUCUGUGCUGCUGGCACUGUAACCAUGGGCCGAAUGCCUCUAGCUUUUGUACACAACAUAACUGUUCCUCGAAUGUCUUUGGACUAGCCUUUGGACUAAGCAGCACCCACCUGCAGCCUGCUGAGGAGCCAAGAGCAGGAGUCACAGAAGAAGCCGUUUCAAGAGGAAAAUAAAGAUGGGGGGAAAUGGAUGUGCCUAGAGACAAGAGAAAGAGAAGGUGAGGGGAUAGCCAGCUUGCAAGAACUCCUGUAAACCUUGCAGUAUUGAAACUCAGUGAACAAGGCAUCUUAGACAAGCUGAAAAACAAAUGGUGGUACGAUAAGGGUGAAUGUGGAGCCAAGGACUCCGGAAGUAAGGUCA
RNA transcript from Haemorhous mexicanus (house finch), 8176 nucleotides. It is a transcript of the gene named glutamate ionotropic receptor AMPA type subunit 3, with no coding region annotated. NCBI's taxonomy places the organism in Eukaryota, Metazoa, Chordata, Aves, Passeriformes, Fringillidae. The record is from RefSeq and is a predicted model, not a curated record. The transcript has 15 exons.